CCCGAGACUAGAGUCACAUCUCUGGCCUGACCGUGGCCUUGCUGUGCUAGAGUACUCGCAGAGUCAUUACUGAUCUUUAUUCACUGGCUGGUUCUCAAUGUAGCUCAGCCAGUCACCAGUUCAGUGACAUUU
This is a small nucleolar RNA of Pseudophryne corroboree (corroboree frog), 132 nucleotides long. RefSeq annotates it as small nucleolar RNA SNORA3/SNORA45 family. NCBI's taxonomy places the organism in Eukaryota, Metazoa, Chordata, Amphibia, Anura, Myobatrachidae. The transcript has a single exon. The record is from RefSeq and is a predicted model, not a curated record.